Molecule: ribosomal RNA, 282 nt
Filed under: uncultured bacterium
Lineage: Bacteria
Description: partial 16S ribosomal RNA
Rfam family: Bacterial small subunit ribosomal RNA
Source: RNAcentral
UUGGANAUGGGCGAAGCCUGAUCCAGCCAUGCCGCGUGUGUGAAGAAGGUCUUCGGAUUGUAAAGCACUUUAAGUUGGGAGGAAGGGCAGUAAGUUAAUACCUUGCUGUUUUGACGUUACCAACAGAAUAAGCACCGGCUAACUUCGUGCCAGCAGCCGCGGUAAUACGAAGGGUGCAAGCGUUAAUCGGGAAUUACUGGGCGUAAAGCGCGCGUAGGUGGUUCAGCAAGUUGGAGGUGAAAUCCCCGGGCUCAACCUGGGAACUGCCUCCAAAACUACUGA